CAGCGGACAUGUGGCUUAUUCGACGCAACGCGAAGAACCUUACCAAGGCUUGACAUAUACCGGAAAGCAUCAAAGAUGGUGCCCCCCUUGUGGUCGGUAUACAGGUGGUGCAUGGCUGUCGUCAGCUCGUGUCGUGAGAUGUUGGGUUAAGUCCCGCAACGAGCGCAACCCUUGUUCUGUGUUGCCAGCAUGCCCUUCGGGGUGAUGGGGACUCACAGGAGACUGCCGGGGUCAACUCGGAG
Molecule: ribosomal RNA, 242 nt
Filed under: uncultured bacterium
Lineage: Bacteria
Description: partial 16S ribosomal RNA
Rfam family: Bacterial small subunit ribosomal RNA
Source: RNAcentral